This is a small nuclear RNA of Sinocyclocheilus anshuiensis, 113 nucleotides long. Its record names the gene U5. It matches the Rfam family "U5 spliceosomal RNA". Rfam says of the family: U5 RNA is a component of both types of known spliceosome. The precise function of this molecule is unknown, though it is known that the 5' loop is required for splice site selection and p220 binding, and that both the 3' stem-loop and the Sm site are important for Sm protein binding and cap methylation. NCBI's taxonomy places the organism in Eukaryota, Metazoa, Chordata, Actinopteri, Cypriniformes, Cyprinidae. The record is from Ensembl.
GCUCAAGUUUCUCUUCUUUAUCGCAUAAAUCUUUUGCGUUUUACUAAAGAUUUCUGUGGAGGGGAACGUUUUGCAAGUGACCUGUAUUUGGAGGCUCUGAUCACAGCAGAGCU